Molecule: ribosomal RNA, 460 nt
Filed under: uncultured bacterium
Lineage: Bacteria
Description: partial 16S ribosomal RNA
Rfam family: Bacterial small subunit ribosomal RNA
Source: RNAcentral
CCUACGGGAGGCAGCAGUGAGGAAUAUUGGUCAAUGGACGAGAGUCUGAACCAGCCAAGUAGCGUGAAGGAUGACUGCCCUAUGGGUUGUAAACUUCUUUUAUAAAGGAAUAAAACGAGGCACGUGUGCCUUUUUGCAUGUACUUUAUGAAUAAGGAUCGGCUAACUCCGUGCCAGCAGCCGCGGUAAUACGGAGGAUCCGAGCGUUAUCCGGAUUUAUUGGGUUUAAAGGGUGCGUAGGUGGGUUGUUAAGUAAGUUGUGAAAGUUUGCGGCUCAACCGUAAAAUUGCAAUUGAUACUGGCAGGCUUGAGUACAGUUGAGGUAGGCGGAAUGCGUGGUGUAGCGGUGAAAUGCUUAGAGAUCACGCAGAACCCCGAUUGCGAAGGCAGCUUACUAAACUACGACUGACGUUGAGGCACGAAAGUGUGGGGAGCAAACAGGAUUAGAUACCCCAGUAGUC